This 434-nucleotide ribosomal RNA is filed under the name uncultured bacterium. RNAcentral's name for it is "partial 16S ribosomal RNA". It matches the Rfam family "Bacterial small subunit ribosomal RNA", at positions 29 to 507 of the family's 1533-position model. The record is from RNAcentral.
AGCGAACGCUGGCGGCAGGCCUAACACAUGCAAGUCGAACGAACCUUUCGGGGUUAGUGGCGGACGGGUGAGUAACACGUGGGAACGUGCCUUUAGGUUCGGAAUAACUCAGGGAAACUUGUGCUAAUACCGAAUGUGCCCUUCGGGGGAAAGAUUUAUCGCCUUUAGAUCGGCCCGCGUCUGAUUAGCUAGUUGGUUGAGGUAAUGGCUCACCAAGGCGACGAUCAGUAGCUGGUCUGAGAGGAUGAUCAGCCACAUUGGGACUGAGACACGGCCCAAACUCCUACGGGAGGCAGCAGUGGGGAAUAUUGCGCAAUGGGCGAAAGCCUGACGCAGCCAUGCCGCGUGAAUGAUGAAGGUCUUAGGAUUGUAAAAUUCUUUCACCGGGGACGAUAAUGACGGUACCCGGAGAAGAAGCCCCGGCUAACUUCGUG